RNAcentral lists this ribosomal RNA (253 nucleotides) under uncultured bacterium. Its description in RNAcentral is "partial 16S ribosomal RNA". It matches the Rfam family "Bacterial small subunit ribosomal RNA", at positions 524 to 776 of the family's 1533-position model. The record is from RNAcentral.
GACGUAGGGAGCGAGCGUUGUCCGGAAUUACUGGGCGUAAAGAGCUCGUAGGCGGGACCGUAAGUCCGAGAGGAAAUCUCAAGGCUCAACUUUGGGGCUUUCUUGGAUACUGCGGUUCUUGAGGAUGAGAGAGGUAAGUAGAAUUCCGAGUGUAGAGGUGAAAUUCGUAGAUAUUCGGAAGAACACCAGUGGCGAAGGCGACUUACUGGACACAUAUUGACGCUGAGGUGCGAAAGCGUGGGGAGCAAACAGG